Molecule: long non-coding RNA, 5518 nt
Organism: Corvus hawaiiensis (hawaiian crow)
Lineage: Eukaryota; Metazoa; Chordata; Aves; Passeriformes; Corvidae
Exons: 5
Source: RefSeq, a predicted model, not a curated record
AUAAGCCAGGGGAAGAGAGGACGCUGCUCACUUUGCCCACGCACGGGUGCAAAACCUGGAGCUGCUGCCAGCUCCCACUCAUGAGCAUCUCAAAACUCCAAAAUCUGUGCUGCAGUGCAAGAGGUGCAGAGCCAGCUCCCCUAAGAGUUUGGGGGGUGCUGAGCUGUCCCUGUCAGUGUUGCUGGUGUAGCUGUCUCUACCCUAUGGAUCAGCUGCCUGCUGACAACUUACAAGGGAGAAGGAAGACAAGUUUUUAGCACGUCUUCCACCCGCAGACCUUCUUCAUGAAACAACUCUGCAGAGAAAUCCUUAUGACAUCUAAAUGCAGGUUUCAGCAUCUUUGUUUCAUACAGUUGUAUUAAGUGAUACUGGAAGUACCUCAUCUGCUUACUCCCGAUUUUGUUGCCAGCCUCAUCCAAAGACUGUUUAUCAAUCCUCCAGGUGUUGGUCUGAAGUCCUCAGCACUCAUACAGUGCAUCCUGAUGGGAGUCAGUCCCAGGAUCCUAAAGGGCUUGGUCACUGCAACCAUUCCUAGGCCAUGGACAAGAGUUUACCUUGUUGCCAUCAUCUUGAUCCUCACAGAAACACAAUGAAAUCUUUCGUGUCUUUAAGCGAUCAAAACACCUCUCCACGGAAAAGGUUGUGGAACCAUGGAAUCAUUGAGGGUAGAAAAGACCUCUAAAAUCAUCAAGACUAAUUAGUGCUGCAUCCAGAGACAGAAAACUCACGUGACUAAGCUGAGAUAGUCAGGUUGGCACUGGGUGUUGAACGUCUAAGCUCUGAGACAAUACUAAUUCUUCAUGUUUUUCCUUAAGCUGUUUACAUCAAUAUUUUCAUAAAUUAUGCAUCUAUUGAGCAACAUACUGAUUUAACUUGUCUGGAGAAAGACAGAUCUGUGUUUGUGGAAAACUCCUAUUAUAGUCUUCUUUUAAUUAUUCCUCAAAUCCUCUCCUGUCACCACAGAAAUAAUUUGUAGUUGUUCGAGGAGUUUAAGGUCAAAACACCACAAAGCCACUCAGUCCUAAUUCAUUCUCUAGACUAUACUUUUAACCUUUUUCUUUUGCUUCUACUACUCAAAUUCAGAUGAGUUUUAAAGCAAUGAUGUGGUCUUCUCUCUGUGGCACAAUAUAAUUGUAUUGAAGCCAAAGCACAGAAGCCCUCAAUGAGAUUAAAUUCAGUUCUUCAUUUAAUCAAUUUCACAUGGAAUAGAUUUUUACCAUCUUUCCUCUUUCUACUCUCUUCAGGAACACCACUGACACAAACACGUCAUGUAAAGGCACAGGAAUGAGUUUUGAAACCCCAGCAAUAUUUUUAAAGAGAAGACUGAACAAAAAAAUAAAUUGUUUGCAAUUGCCAUUUCAUUUGCUCCCUCACAAUGAGGUAAAAAUAGUAACAUUUAAAACUUCAAUUAUAGAAUCACAGAAUGGCCUCGUUUGGAAGAGACUUUAACUAUCAUCCACUUACACCUCCUGUGCCAUGGGCAGGGACACCUUCCACUAGACCAGGUUGCUCAGAGCUCCCUCCAACCCAGCCUUGAACACUUCCGGGGUCGGAAGCAAACACAGCUUCUCCAGGAAAUAUGUUCCAGCAUCCUCAUCAUCCUCCCAGCAAAGAAUUUUUUCCUCCCUACAGGCACUGGAAGGCCUCAGGUGCUAAUAGCUAUCCUUUAUUUACUGACUGUGCCCAUUUCACUGAAGCCUGGGUACAUUUAUUGGAUAGUGCAAAACUAACAAAAGUUGCAAGUUUAUAUAUGUUCCAGUCCACCUUCCCACCCAAAAAUAUCAAGCUCCUUGAAGGUAAUCCAUUAAUUUAUUAGCAAUGUUAGUAUUUCAACUACUGCAGGAUUGUAAUUCCUAACAGAAAUUGGAAGUAUAACCAACUUGCUAUUCAUAUAUGGUGUGAUUACCUUUAAAAGAAAUAUUGCAAUAAAACCUACACACAGUACCACUAACAAUAAUAAGUGUCAAAGUGGAAAAAAAAAAAUCAUCUGAUUUAGGAGUGCUAAUGUGGGUAAUGGAUCAUCAUCUACAACAAACAAUAGCUAGCAAAAUAAGUUUAAUUUUAUGACCUUCAUCCAUAAGACAUCAUCAAAUAAUCACCAAAACUUUUCAGGUUUGACCAUAAGACAAUAUUCAUUUUUAUGGAAAAAAAUCUAGCGGAAAAAAAGGGUUUAUAACUGGCAUGCAGCUAUUUUAAAAACCAAGAGCUCAGCAGCAGUCAGCUGUUGCAGCCUCGGGGUGGUCUGUAUUCAUGAUUUCUGCAAUGGAGACAAAAGUUUCAUCUUUACACACAAAGCAUGACAUUUUUGCAGAUUACACAAAACUGAGGAAGUGGCUGAUUCACCAGAGGGUUGUGCUGCCAUCCAGAAGGACCUCAACAGGCUGGAGAAACAUGCUGACAGGAACUGUAUGAAUGGGAAAUGCAAAGUCCUGGGGAGGAAUAAAAUCCCAUGCACCUGUACUGACCAGCUGGAAACCAGAUAUCUUAAGAAGGUCCUGGGGGUCCUAGUGGACACCAACCCAAGCAGUGCAAUCUUGGAGCAAAAAAGGACAAACAAAGAAGGACAAAACUCCUGAGCAGCUAGGCAGAGGGUAGAGAUCCUUCCCCUCUGCUCAGCUCUGGUGAGAGAUACCUGGAGUUCUGGGUCGAGUACAAGACAAAUUCUGGAGCGAGUCCAGGGAAAGACCAGAAUGAUUAAGGCACCAGAGCAUCUAUCCUACAAGGAAAGGCUGAGAGACCUGUGACUGUCCAGCCUGGAGCAGAAAAGGUUCAGGGGAUCUGAUCCACGUGUGUUCAUACCAGAAGGGGGCAAAAACGAAGAGGCAGCCAGGCUCUUGUUAGUGGUAUCCAGUGACAGGACAAGAAAACAUGGACAUUAAACUAAAAUAGAAGCAAUUUCACCUAAGCACAAGAAAGCACUUUCCUCCUGUGAAGGUGGUCAGACACCGGUAGAGGCUACUAGAGAAGUUGUAGAGCCUCCACCUCUGGAGAUGCUCAAAACCCAAUGAGAUAUAGCCCAGAGCAACUUGCUCUGAGCAAGUGGUUAGAUUGUGUGAUCUCCAGAGGUGCCUUCCCGCCUCAAAAAAAAAAAAAAAAAAAAAAAUCACACAUUAAAUGGUCAUCUAUCUCAGUUUACUCUUUUUCCUGCCCUGACAAUAGUCACCAACUAAAGUAAAAUAAACACACAGGCACACACCACCACCACCCAGAAAAAAACCCCACCAAAACAAAGCAAUAAAAACAACAACAAAACCACAACCCAACCAAACAAAAAACCCCAACUAAAACGAAGGUAAAAUCCACUGAAAUUCAAGGAAUCUUAUCUCAAGUAGAUGAACUUUUCUAUUCAAGGACUGUAACUACUGUGCCAGGACAAUUAGUCCCCUGAUCAUUUACACCUUUGAAAAGCCAUGUAAGCAAGCAAAAGGUAUUUUCACUACUGAACAAAACCAGUAUUUUUUUUCUUUCCGUUUACUACAAUUCUGGUAUUUGAUCCAACUCAAGAAGAAAAACAUUUACAGAAGAUCUCUCUCUUAGCACUUUGAAGGAAGAAUGAACACUAUUAGCAGCUAAACAUAAGCCAUAAAACCCACCCAGACAUCUAAUAAAGUAAGAAGACUGUUCUUGCUGUACACAUCGCUUUCCUUGGGAACUUCACUUACUGAAGCCUACUAUAAAACAGACCUAAUACCCAAAAUUAGCCAACUGAGAAUUACUUUUUCCCAAAGCAAUAAAUUGGUUUUUUACUCAAAAGCAGAGAAAGAGUCGUUCAUGGUUUGAACCUCAACUCUUUAAUAUUUUCCUGUUUGCUUGGUGGGUUUUUUUUUUUUAUUAUUCUUGCUUUCUGUUUGAUGGCAAAGGUUGCAGAUUCAGAUCCAUCGAUGUGUUGAUAUUAGUAAGAAUUUCUAGCUGAUCCAAAACAAUAUUUCUCAAUAAUGACAACACAAACAAAAAAACAUGCUCAACCUAACUGACUUGUUUCCAAAAUAUUGGCAUCUAAAAGCAUGGUUUAAAAAAGAUGAAAUUAAAGACUUUUACCUGCCAUCAAAAGCAGUUUAGCCAUCUGAAGAGAGCAAAAGUAGUCCAAACCCCAUCAACACCACCCUAGGUGGUAUGUUUGUACACUGCCUGCAAAUACACAGCAUGGAGUAAGAUUCUUUAGGCAAUCCAGGAUUAUUCACUUGUUACAUAUAAAAAUCCUCUCCUUCUUGUAAUAGAGCAUUGCUAAAAAUAUUGAUCGCUGCAAAUACCAAACACUUAUAAUAAUAUGCUGUACUGAGUAAGCAAUCUCAUCACAGCAAAAGCAAUGAUAAUAAUAUAUUUACUCUUUCAGAGGUAUCAUCUUAAGUCAUCUAGAAAACUUCAUCUUCAAGAUCUAUGUUGUUAUCAGUAUACAACAAAGACAAAAAACCCCUAAAAAUGCAGAGCAUUGCAGCAAACAGGUGGAAGGUGCAUUUGACAGAAGAAAUAUUGGCUGUUCCUGUGUCUGGAAAUGCAUUCAAUAAUCUUGCUUGAUGAUUAACACAUCCCAUGUGUGAAAGCCUGCAUAAAAGACCAAGCAACAGCUGUAAUUUACUGAAGGAGGUAGGACAGCUCAGCAGUAGAAGCCAUCCAAGUUGUAAAAUGACAGUGUACUAGUAGUUGCCAUCCAUUUAAUUACAGUUUAAACUUUCCAAUAUGACAUAGUAAUAAAUUGAAAAAUGCUUCAUUACUGGCUAUUUUUUUCUUUUAGACAGAUGUUGUACAUGGUAUAUUGUGGACCUUUUCCAUCUCUUCCUUUCUGGCUGGUUAUUGCCUGGCUAACAGGAUGUUUCAUUUUAAUGAAAAAUACAUUACUGCAUUAAGAUAAGGUCAUCAGUUCUUAAGUUAAAUGCAAUUUCUGUAAUAAAACUAAUUGCAUAACCUACAUAAAAAUUUUUUAUGUGGGUUAAACACUUUUAAUUACUACCUAAAUUUUGUUCAACAUUUAAAUGGGGUAUUCACCUAUAAAAAGAAUGCAUACACUGUGAAAUGCCUCUACAGUUCUUUACAGCAUGCCUUCUGUAUGUUCUACUGUAAUACAUAAUGUUGUCAGCACUGUUAAAUUCAACUCUUGAGCAAGGCUGAAGGGAAAGAGGCAAAGAAAAAAAAAAAAAACCUACCAGUCUAUGAAGUGCAAAAACUGGCUUUGAAGCUGCACCCGAUUGCUCAGUGCCAUGUCCAGUUGGCUUUGAGGUAUUUUUAAGGAUGGAAACCUCACAAUCUGUCCAAGUAUGCUCAAAUACAACUUUAUAGAGUAGAGAAUCAUAGAAUAUCCUGAGUUGGAUGGGAACCACCAAAGGAUCACCAAAGUCCAACUCCUGGCCCAGCUCAGGACCCAGAAUCACCAUGUGUGGUUAUUUGUAAACCCUGUUCUGUCCCACAUAAAUAAUUAUUUAAUAUAAUGUCAUGGAUUAGCAAAACAUAGUCCCAGAAGUGAUGUUCUUGCAAAGGGGUGCUUACAGCUCCUCCGUGACCUGACAGAACCUAUCAGCUGGCC